RNAcentral lists this ribosomal RNA (252 nucleotides) under uncultured bacterium. RNAcentral describes it as "partial 16S ribosomal RNA". It matches the Rfam family "Bacterial small subunit ribosomal RNA", at positions 524 to 776 of the family's 1533-position model. The record is from RNAcentral.
UACGGAGGAUGCGAGCGUUAUCCGGAUUUAUUGGGUUUAAAGGGUGCGUAGGCGGAUUUUUAAGUCAGCGGUAAAAUGUCCGGGCUCAACCCGGGCCGGCCGUUGAAACUGGGGAUCUUGAGUGGGCGAGAAGUAUGCGGAAUGCGUGGUGUAGCGGUGAAAUGCAUAGUUAUCACGCAGAACUCCGAUUGCGAAGGCAGCAUACCGGCGCCCGACUGACGCUGAGGCACGAAAGCGUGGGGAUCGAACAGG